RNAcentral lists this ribosomal RNA (201 nucleotides) under uncultured bacterium. RNAcentral's name for it is "partial 16S ribosomal RNA". It matches the Rfam family "Bacterial small subunit ribosomal RNA", at positions 924 to 1129 of the family's 1533-position model. The record is from RNAcentral.
CACACGCAGGGGAGUAUGUGGUUUAAUUAGACGCAACGAGAAGCACCUUCACAUGUCUACACAUCGAGAGACGUUAAUAGAAACAGGAGUUCCCUUCGGAACUCAGAGACAGGUGGUGCAUGGUUGUCGUCAGCUCGUGUCGUGAGAUGUUGGGUUAAGUCCCGCAACGAGCGCAACCCUUACUUCAGUGCUACGCAAGAG